This 2511-nucleotide long non-coding RNA is filed under the name Homo sapiens (human). Its description in RNAcentral is "HSALNT0362073". The record is from RNAcentral. Lineage: Eukaryota; Metazoa; Chordata; Mammalia; Primates; Hominidae.
CAUGGCAGAUGGAACCCUUCACCCAUCCUCCUUUUUCCUUUUUCUAACCUUUGUCUAACGUCAGAGCUGCCAGCAGUCCCUGUAUAAGCAUGGGUAAAAGAGUAAAGAAUCAUCACUCCUGAUACUGGUGAGCCACUGAACCAACACCGGCCACUGACUACCUCCAGAUUUCUUUUUAUAACUGCCAUUCUUUGAGCUGGAAAAUUGCCUUUUACUUGGGGCAUACAAUAUGUAAUGAUCACAUCAGGGUAAUUGGGGUAUCCAUCACCUCAAGGAUUGAUCAUUUCAUUAGUUGGAAACUAUGCAAACUGUUGGAAAAAACUGGAAUUGACUGGCUGUGUUUGGUUUGGACAACUCAUCGAAAUGAGAGGGAGCCCAGCACGAGUUCUGCUUGAGUGAUGUCUGAAAAUCUGGCCUCUCAGUCUACCUUAAAAGCCUACCUAUUUGGCUUUCACUAGAGUUCAGAUACAUAAAACAAAUAUCUUUGCUUUGGCUUCCCUUGAGUCAUAUCAAUCUACACCUCAUCAAGAAUAUGAAGUUUGGAAGAACAAAGAAGCAAUUGAGCAUCCUAAACUCAACGUAGGGCAAGUAACAUGGACAUUGAUACACCAAGUUCCUUCUUGUUUUUCCUUGAAAGUUGGCUUGAUGAAUGUAUUCUGCAGGGAUUUUAAAGGUGUGGAAAUGAAGCAGACAUCAAGGACUGCUGCAGUUUACUGGGGGUCCACUCCAGACCUUAGUUGCUUCAGUUUUUCCCUGUACCUGGAGGUAUCGUCAGUGAAGCCUGCAAAACAGCAAAGAUGGCAGCCUGCUCCUUCCUCUGGAAGCUCCAUCCCAGGGAUGCACUGACCUGUUGCCAGAAGGAACAUGCCUGUAGGAGGUGGCUGGAGACCCCUGCUGGGAGGUCCCACCCACUCGGGAGGAAUGGGAUCAGGGACCCACCCCAAGAAGCCCUCUGGCUGCCCUUUGGUAGAGUAGGUGCCAGGAGACCCUUCCUUGCCUGGACCAUUUGUAUUUUCCAAAGUUGGCAGGCUGGAAUGGCUGAGUUUACCAAACUGCAGAGAUGACAGCUGCUCUUCCCCUGUGAGCUUCAUUCCAGGGAGAGAUCAGAACUUUGUCUGUAGAACCCUUGCUUGUGUGGCUGAAGCCCCUGCAGGGAGGACUUGCCCAGUGAAGAGGAAUAGAUUGAGGUACCGCUUAAAGAAGCAGUCUGGCCAUGAUCUGGCAAGGCAGCUGUGCUGUGCUGCAGGGAACCUCUCCUUGCUCGAACUUCUUGUAUUCUUCAAAGCUAGCAGGCUGAAACCAAUAAAUUUAAAUUUAAAUAGGUAAAAAUAAGUAAAUAAAGAUAAAGAAAAAUAAAUUGACUGAUUUAUUCUGCCUUCAGGAGCUCUUAGAUGAUGUAGGAAAACAAAUAAUACUGUACAAUCAAAGUCGAAAUUCCUUAAGCAGAGGGUCUUAUGAGAACACAAAGGGAAGGCAACUGGAGCUUUACAGAUGACUUCCUAGACUAGAGAUACCUGAUGUGGGUCUUUAGGGUUAAGUCAUUAAUAGCAAGGCCAAGUAGAGGAAGAGCAUAUCCUACAGAGAAAAAAAGAAUAAGCAAAGGCUGGCUGUUGAGAGAAUUGCAAGUGCUUAGUAUGACUAUAGCGGUAGUCUCAACAGGAGCAGGACAUCCUUAGGGGAUGUUUUGAAAAAUUUUUGUGGAAUUUUCUUGGUCCCAGUAAUUAGUAAGCACUAUUAGCCUUAAAAUGAUAAAGGGCCACUGAGCUAGAUGUUCUGCAAUGGGCAAGACAAUUGCACACAAUGAAAAAUUGUCCCAAGUUCAAGUUUGGACAAGUUAGGGAUGUCCCUCCAGGCAUUUUUGUCAAUGAAAAACCUCUUUGUAACUGUCUUGGCAUAGAGCCUAACUCCAUAUAUACAUAUAACACAAAAUAUUUUUGCACAGUUUUAAUAUACACUAAAUUUUCCAGGGACACAAUUACAUAAAUUAAGGAAAGAUCAUGCUUUGCUGUGUUUGGAACUUAUCAAGAGUCAUUCACCAUUCUAGAAAAUAGCAUCAAAGAUGCAAUAUAGCUCUUGGUGUCUGAGUUGCCAGUUCAGCCAUCUGUGUCAAUCUGUAUUUGUAGAUAUUGCAGUCAAGGUGAUAUUAUUUUUAAGCAAAAGUGUCUGACAACUUUAUUAAGUUCCCCAAUGUAGCUGUGCCAUAGCAUUUUAGAUUAUUUUAAAUUGUAUAUUACUUUCCUUUUAUUUUUCCUCUAAUGAUAGAUACUUAGGGCAUUUUUUUUAAAAACCCAAUGAGAAGACAGGUUAUUUUAUCUAUGAGUUUCAUUUCAGGAUAGUAAAAGUGUAUUACAAAAUGCUGGUUGUAACAACGGGGACAUUAGGUUGCAAAGGACAGAAUGGGCUGGUAUGUCAGUAGCAUCUCUUUCCCCAAAGACCUCAGUUGUGACAUGUGAAACUCUAAUUGCUAUGUGAUGUUUCCAGUUGUAAGGGCCUGAUUAUGGUUUAAUGCUU